UACGUAGGGUGCGAGCGUUAAUCGGAAUUACUGGGCGUAAAGCGUGCGCAGGCGGUUUUGUAAGUCGGAUGUGAAAUCCCCGGGCUUAACCUGGGAAUUGCAUUCGGGACUGCAAGGCUGGAGUGCGGCAGAGGAGACUGGAAUUCCUGGUGUAGCAGUGAAAUGCGUAGAUAUCAGGAGGAACACCGAUGGCGAAGGCAGGUCUCUGGGCUGAUACUGACGCUCAUGCACGAAAGCGUGGGGAGCAAACAGG
RNAcentral lists this ribosomal RNA (253 nucleotides) under uncultured bacterium. RNAcentral's name for it is "partial 16S ribosomal RNA". It matches the Rfam family "Bacterial small subunit ribosomal RNA", at positions 524 to 776 of the family's 1533-position model. The record is from RNAcentral.